RNAcentral lists this ribosomal RNA (245 nucleotides) under uncultured bacterium. RNAcentral's name for it is "partial 16S ribosomal RNA". It matches the Rfam family "Bacterial small subunit ribosomal RNA", at positions 791 to 1035 of the family's 1533-position model. The record is from RNAcentral.
UAGUCCACGCCGUAAACGGUGGGUACUAGGUGUGGGUUUCCUUCCUUGGGAUCCGUGCCGUAGCUAACGCAUUAAGUACCCCGCCUGGGGAGUACGGCCGCAAGGCUAAAACUCAAAGGAAUUGACGGGGGCCCGCACAAGCGGCGGAGCAUGUGGAUUAAUUCGAUGCAACGCGAAGAACCUUACCUGGGUUUGACAUGCACAGGACGUGCCUAGAGAUAGGUAUUCCCUUGUGGCCUGUGUGC